GUCUUUUUUUUUUCUUUCUUCUGUCAUUGCACUGAAAUGUCGGUUAUCAUCACUUGGUUGCCUGUGACUACAUGAUAGAAUCCCGAAAAGGAGGAUAAGCAAGCUGCGCGUUUCCACGUCAGACUUGUGUAACCGUUAUCAUUUGGCUCUUCGCAGGUUGUUUUGAACUUGAGACGUCAUGAGCAAAGCAUUUUUAACGUUACAAUUGCAUUCGGCGCAAUAGCACAGAAAGUGGUAACCCAUAGCGCAGCUCCACUGGUUCCAAAUUUGAUGGACACAGCCAUGAGUUACCUGGCAGUAUUGUGGCAGAGGGUAUCUUGUGCCACAGAAGUACAUACGAACAGUCCAGCAGAAAUACAGCAGCAGCCCAAUCCCAGUCUAUAACUCUGCAGAGGCUCAGAGAGAUAGCAGCAAACCAGGUCCUUCCCACAACUCUCCGCAAGCUCGGGAUUCGUCGCAAAC
Molecule: long non-coding RNA, 462 nt
Organism: Ornithodoros turicata
Lineage: Eukaryota; Metazoa; Arthropoda; Arachnida; Ixodida; Argasidae
Exons: 3
Source: RefSeq, a predicted model, not a curated record